UGACCCAGUGAUGAUGACUGGUGGCAUAUUAAAUCAUGGAUGAUGAAUAAUACAUGUCUGAAACUCUGAGGUACUA
Small nucleolar RNA from Lemur catta (Ring-tailed lemur), 76 nucleotides. RefSeq annotates it as small nucleolar RNA SNORD113/SNORD114 family. Lineage: Eukaryota; Metazoa; Chordata; Mammalia; Primates; Lemuridae. The record is from RefSeq and is a predicted model, not a curated record. The transcript has a single exon.